This 536-nucleotide ribosomal RNA is filed under the name uncultured bacterium. RNAcentral's name for it is "bacterial SSU rRNA". It matches the Rfam family "Bacterial small subunit ribosomal RNA", at positions 120 to 689 of the family's 1533-position model. The record is from RNAcentral.
AGAAUCUGCCUUCUGGUCGGGGACAACCACGGGAAACGGUGGCUAAUACCGGAUGAGCCUGCGGGUAAAAGAGAAAUUGCCAGAAGAAGAGCUCGCGUCUGAUUAGCUAGUUGGUGAGGUAAGAGCUCACCAAGGCAGCGAUCAGUAGCUGGUCUGAGAGGAUGACCAGCCACACUGGGACUGAGACACGGCCCAGACUCCUACGGGAGGCAGCAGUGGGGAAUUUUCCGCAAUGGGCGAAAGCCUGACGGAGCAAUACCGCGUGAGGGAAGAAGGCUCUUGGGUCGUAAACCUCUUUUAUCAGGGAAGAAAAAAAUGACGGUCCCUGAAGAAUCAGCCUCGGCUAACUCCGUGCCAGCAGCCGCGGUAAUACGGAGGAGGCAAGCGUUAUCCGGAAUUAUUGGGCGUAAAGCGUCCGCAGGUGGCUUAUCAAGUCUGCUGUCAAAGAGUGGGGCUUAACCCCAUAAAGGCAGUGGAAACUGAAAAGCUAGAGUGCCGUAGGGGUAGAGGGAAUUCCCGGUGUAGCGGUGAAAUGC